UAGCCCGAUUGGUUAUAAGUGUAAAGUGGCAGACUUUUAACAAAAUUAUUGUUUGUUCCAUGAGAGGACAUGAAGGACCUCUCUGGCCAGUGCAGAAUUGUAAAGGACAUUGAGAUAAUAAAGCGGAACAAGGAGAUAUUGAAGUUGCUAGUGAAAAACCAAGGGAUUCAAGAAAUCAAUGUAUAGUAAUAAAGUCUAUCUUUUACAUGUACUAAUAUUAUAUAUAGUAGUUGUUCUUAAAUCACUUUGUGAUUUGAACUGUGAUAUUUUUUUUUAUCUAUUAUAUCAAUAAUUAGCAAUUAUAUUAUAUUUCUUAUUAAUAUUUUUAUUUUAUAUAUAUAUUUUUUUCUGUGGUGUAUCUUAUUACCGGCUGGCUUUUAAACAUUGAUAUAAAAUAAAUUGUUAUGGAUUUUUAUCUAAAUAUUGUGGCGUUUCAAAAAGAUCAUUUAAAGUUUAACAUAUGCUCGCAAACGUUAGUGAAUUUUAUUUGUUGGAGUUUACAAGAUGUCGGAAAAUAAUAGCUAGUGGUGUUUAUACAAUGCGCCGAUAACUUACUAGUAGCUGCGUUUAUCUAGACGCCAUUAAUUUAUACAAUAUGGCAACAUUGUACUAGUGAUGGUGUUUAAUUUGACCACAAAUGCUGGUAAUGGAUUUGUCUAUUUCCGGUGUUUGGACAAAAUCUGGCAUGCGUAAAUAGCAACCCUCCCAUACCAGUGUUUGGUUGUGUGGGUAAAAAGAUGCCGCUAAUCGAUUACCGGCAUUUAGUUUAACCAUUACUGGCACUUUUCAAACGGUGGCAAUGGACAUAAUAGCAAUAGCCAACAAAUUCACCAGCUUCUUCCAAAAUCUCCUCCAAAGUUCAAGCCCUUUGUUCCAUAUGAAAUAGAUUAUGGAUUGUAUGAGAUUCCGAUUGUAAGUUAAGAUAGAGGAAGGGGAAAUAUGGUCCUAAUUUUUAGUGAA
Long non-coding RNA from Carya illinoinensis, 960 nucleotides. RefSeq lists it as uncharacterized. The transcript is spliced from 2 exons. Lineage: Eukaryota; Viridiplantae; Streptophyta; Magnoliopsida; Fagales; Juglandaceae. The record is from RefSeq and is a predicted model, not a curated record.